GAGAUAAUGCCAUUUUGGUAGGCCUGACAUCUGGGUCUCUCUUUCGCCUCGUGGAACAAAAUAUAUAUAUAUAUAUAUAUUCCCUUCUGUGUUUCUUUCUCUACAUUUGGGACGAGGCAAGCGUUUUGUUGAAGUCGGAUAACUUCAUCGGCCCGCGCAAGCCACUACGAGGACGUUGUUUUGUAGUAGUUACAGGGACAGUACGCAGUUUUCGGUUAGCGGCAGUUGAACGGUCGUCGUCCAGUGUUGACGACACAGCUCCCCCGUCCCAACGAACAAAGGAAACCGUGAGGUCGGUGCACGUCCGUUAACGCAGGAGGAGCGGGGUACUGUUUAUUAAAUUAUACAAAAGUUCAUUCCACCCGUACGCUAUUUUUUUGUUAUGGUAUUUCGCCUUGAGACGUCUUUUCCUCAAGUAUAUCCAAACAAUUAGCCUGACUCAUUCAGUCUUGUUAGCAACAUCGGCUAAGGGCAGCUAACGGCUAACUUUUAGCAUUGUUUUGAUCCAAGAAAGGAGUUUUAUUUUUUAUUUAUUUAUUUUUUGAGCGGGGCAAAAUGGCCGAAGUUUAUAUUCGAGUGGCGGAGGAGGAAAACGAGGAGCCCAUGGAGAUCCCAUCCGAGGACGACGGCACGGUUCUCCUUUCAACAGUGGCAGCUCAGUUUCCAGGGGCGUGUGGCCUACGGUUCAGGAGCCCCGUGUCCCAGUGCAUGCGAGGAGUGCGUCUGGUGGAGGGGAUCCUACACGCUCCAGAAAACGGAUGGGGAAAUGUCGUGUACGUGGUCAACUAUCCAAAAGACAACAAAAGGAAAAUGGAGGAAAUCGAUGCAUCAUCAGCUGUGAAAAUGAAGAGAGGGGACAUGAAGACAUCUGAUCUGAUUGUACUGGGUCUUCCUUGGAAAACAACUGAGCAGGACCUUAAAGACUACUUUAGCACAUUUGGAGAAGUCAUCAUGGUUCAGGUAAAACGAGAUGCCAAGACCGGAAACUCUAAAGGAUUUGGCUUUGUGAGGUUCACAGAGUAUGAGGCUCAAGAAAAGGUGAUCUCCCAGCGCCAUAUGAUUGACGGCAGAUGGUGUGACUGCAAGCUCCCUAACUCGAAGGUGAAUCUGCAAGGUCCAGAUGAGCCACUGAGGAGCCGGAAAGUGUUUGUAGGUCGUUGCACAGAGGACAUGACCACAGAUGACCUCCGGCAAUUCUUUAUGCAGUAUGGAGAAGUCACAGAUGUCUUCAUCCCCAAGCCAUUCCGUGCUUUUGCCUUUGUAACAUUUGCAGAUGAUCAGGUUGCCCAGUCUCUCUGUGGAGAGGACCUAAUAAUCAAAGGUGUCAGUGUUCACAUCUCAAAUGCUGAGCCCAAACAUGGAAAUAGGCAGUUUGAUCGUACAACACGAUUUGGGAAUGGUUUUGGAGCUCAAGCAUUUGGUAGCAGCCGUAGUGGGUUAGGAAGCAGCACUAACAGUAGUCUGGCUAAUUUUGGUUCCUUCAGUCUGAACCCAGCUAUGAUGGCUGCUGCUCAGGCUGCUCUGCAGAGUAGUUGGGGGAUGAUGGGUAUGCUGGCUAGCCAACAGCAGACAUCCACAUCAGGCAGUACCUCAAGUGGAACAAGCUCUAGUAGGGACCAGAGUCAGUCUUUCAGUACAGGCAACAGCAACUACGGCACCAGCUCAGCCAGUCUUGGCUGGGGAACAGGGUCAAACUCUACAACCAGUGGGAGUGGGUUUAGCUCAGGUUUUGGGUCCAGUAUGGAGUCAAAGUCAUCUGGGUGGGGUAUGUAAGUUAAAUGUUUGUAUGGUAAGUAUUGUGACAAAGAUGAGUCUUUUCAAGAAUUUAUUUCUGGUGUUGAUGCGUAUCUGAAAACUUAACACUUUUGUGGAAGAUGUUUUGUACAUUUGGAAAAAAUGCUAAAGAUUUAAUUUAGAAAGUGUUGAAGUGAGUUGUUUACCAGGAUGUCCGACUAAAGUGCUAUUUUUGACGUCUCAUUUGUUUGUAUCCAUUUCAACUGGAUUCUCUAAUGCAUGUAUUGUGAAAUGUGAUAACCAUUUUGAAAAUGCAUGAAUGUUUGUGGUUCACCAUUAUCUGGCUUUGUCAUCGAUUUAAAAGGCAAUCUUGCAUUGGGAAGAAUCUGGUUGAAACCUAAAUGUUUUAAGUGCAACUUUUAUUUGCAGUCAAGUUCUGUGGAAAAGCCUUCAUUGAAAUCUCUUCUGCAGUUCACCUCUCUUCCAUUUUCCUGUGAGGAAGUUCCUCUUUGGCAGCAUUCUUGGGGUGAUAUCGGUAUCAUUCUCCCUCUUCCCACCUGUAAAUGCUAUGCCAUCAAAGAACGGCUUCACUCCGCAUGUUCUAAGAGACGGGACCUUGGGCUCUGCUGGUCGAGGUCUCCGUUUGAACCCUGACUGAAGUCUGUUCUGAAGGACGAAGACGGAAGUUCCAACACUUUCAGUGUGUGGCCUUCUCAGACAUGACAUGGGGUAGUACCUGUCUUUUUGCUGCUUUUGAUGGCUUGUCAGAGUGAAUUAUUCCUUUUUAUUCUUCACAGCUACUUUUAGAGGGAAGUUCUUGGGGAAUCACUGUCUUUAUUUGAACUUUAACAUAUGAGCUCAGUAAUGUGGCAUCACCUCACAAGCAAUGUUAAAAAAAUAAAAAUAAAAAAUCUAAUUUGGCUAAAGUAGUAAGAACUAAUGGCACAUUGCUGAGCUGUGGAAUUAGUGAUGGGGAUUUUUACAUUGCCUUAUAUAUUCAGUGGCCACUUUAUUAGGUACGCCUGUACAGUCUUGCAGUUUAAUCCAACUGUUCUGCUACAAAUGGUAAUUUUAUUAAGUUUGUAAUAUGACUGCUUUGACAUUGAAAUUUGUGAAUUUAAUUAGGUUUAAUACUGAGUUCAUAGUCUUAGGUGAUGUUUUACUUUCGGGGCUACAGUAUAUUGAGGUUUUUCUGAUUUAUUCUGUUUCCGUCCCUAUUUAUGUACACAAAGAGGGGAAGAAUAUUAGAGAAACCUGAAUAAUGCACUCCAGUAUGUUAUAAAAGUAGACAUUAUGGCAGGUGUAUUGGAUUGCAUUAGAUUGCACGUGUACCUAAUAAAGUGGUCACUGGGUGUACAUUAUGGAUAGUUUGCCUGACAGUCUUAAGUCCAUUUGAGGUUUACCAAAAUAUUUAAUUAUUAAUAAUAAUCUUAAUAGAAGAUUUUUGUAGUCAGUGUCACUUUGACAGUGCUUUUUAAAAAAAAAAAUUACCUACAUUUGUAUUUGUUCAUACAUUUGUAUUGAAUGUCAAACCAGUGCCAAAUGCACUACAUUUUGACAUUGCAUCAGCAGAUCCCAGGACAGAUAACGGUCAGAAAUCUGCAGAAAGUGUAAAAUAAAACUACUGUAAUGUGACAUAAGAUCUUAUGCUGUAGGUUAGUUUAAAGUUGAAAUGCAUUUUUCCCAUGAAAGAAUGAUUAUGGCACCUUUAUGACACUGAACUCACUGUCAUGUAUUAGUCAGCCUUCAUGUUUAUUUGAAUGUUGGGUACAAGUGAGACACUGCAGGGCCUGCCUGUGUCUUGUCCUUAUUGUCUGCUUUCCUCCUCCUCAGUGUCUCUGCUCUUCCUCUUCCCAGUACUCUUCUUUUUCAAAUCCCUCUGCUCCUGGUUCAGUUCCUCGCUUUUAUUUUGUAUGUAGAUGGACUGAAAUAAAUAAAGGCAAAUUAAACAUUCAA
RNA transcript from Dicentrarchus labrax (European seabass), 3690 nucleotides. It is a transcript of the gene named TAR DNA binding protein b, with no coding region annotated. The record is from RefSeq and is a predicted model, not a curated record. The transcript is spliced from 6 exons. Lineage: Eukaryota; Metazoa; Chordata; Actinopteri; Moronidae.